GAUGAACGCUGGCGGCGUGCCUAAUACAUGCAAGUCGAGCGAACAGACGAGGAGCUUGCUCCUCUGACGUUAGCGGCGGACGGGUGAGUAACACGUGGAUAACCUACCUAUAAGACUGGGAUAACUUCGGGAAACCGGAGCUAAUACCGGAUAAUAUAUUGAACCGCAUGGUUCAAUAGUGAAAGACGGUUUUGCUGUCACUUAUAGAUGGAUCCGCGCCGCAUUAGCUAGUUGGUAAGGUAACGGCUUACCAAGGCAACGAUGCGUAGCCGACCUGAGAGGGUGAUCGGCCACACUGGAACUGAGACACGGUCCAGACUCCUACGGGAGGCAGCAGUAGGGAAUCUUCCGCAAUGGGCGAAAGCCUGACGGGGCAACGCCGCGAGAGUGAUGAAGGUCUUCGGAUCGUAAAACUCUGUUAUUAGGGAAGAACAAAUGUGUAAGUAACUAUGCACGUCUUGACGGUACCUAAUCAGAAAGCCACGGCUAACUACGUG
Molecule: ribosomal RNA, 497 nt
Filed under: uncultured bacterium
Lineage: Bacteria
Description: partial 16S ribosomal RNA
Rfam family: Bacterial small subunit ribosomal RNA
Source: RNAcentral